UAUGCCCUUCACUACGGAAUAGCCUCGGGAAACUGAGAGUAAUACCGUAUACGCCCUUUGGGGAAAGAUUUAUCGGUGAAGGAUUAGCCCGCGUCUGAUUAGAUAGUUGGUGGGGUAACGGCCUACCAAGUCGACGAUCAGUAGCUGGUUUGAGAGGAUGAUCAGCAACACUGGGACUGAGACACGGCCCAGACUCCUACGGGAGGCAGCAGUGGGGAAUCUUAGACAAUGGGCGCAAGUGAUCUAGCCAUGCCGCGUGAGUGACGAAGGCCUUAGGGUCGUAAAGCUCUUUCGCCAGGGAUGAUAAUGACAGUACCUGGUGAAGAAACCCCGGCUAACUCCGUGCCAGCAGCCGCGGUAAUACGGAGGGGGUUAGCGUUGUUCGGAAUUACUGGGCGUAAAGCGUACGUAGGCGGAUCAGAAAGUUGGGGGUGAAAUCCCGGGGCUCAACCCCGAACUGCCUCCAAAACUCCUGGUCUAGAGUUCGAGAGAGGUGAGUGGAAUUCCGAGUGUAGAGGUGAAAUUCGUAGAUAUUCGGAGGAACACCAGUGGCGAAGGGGCUCACUGGCUCGAUACUGACGCUGAGGUACGAAAGUGUGGGGAGCAAACAGGAUUAGAUACCCUGGUAGUCCACACCGUAAACGAUGAAUGCCAGUCGUCGGGUAGCAUGCUAUUCGGUGACACACCUAACGGAUUAAGCAUUCCGCCUGGGGAGUACGGUCGCAAGAUUAAAACUCAAAGGAAUUGACGGGG
This 753-nucleotide ribosomal RNA is filed under the name uncultured bacterium. RNAcentral's name for it is "bacterial SSU rRNA". It matches the Rfam family "Bacterial small subunit ribosomal RNA", at positions 125 to 918 of the family's 1533-position model. The record is from RNAcentral.